Long non-coding RNA from Cervus elaphus (red deer), 680 nucleotides. RefSeq lists it as uncharacterized. Lineage: Eukaryota; Metazoa; Chordata; Mammalia; Artiodactyla; Cervidae. The transcript has 3 exons. The record is from RefSeq and is a predicted model, not a curated record.
UGGGCCUGUCUCCUCUCUGGCAAGCUGUUUAUAAGCAGAAUGUAAUGUGGGCACCAGUAUUUAUUUCUGAACAAUGUGUGAAAAGAGAACAGCAGAAUGUAAAGUUCAAGAGUAGAUGUGCACGUGGAGUUUAUAUUCUCCGACUUCAAGCAGAAAGAGAGCCUGUGUCUCUGAGCCCAAAAGAAAAAGAGUAAAGCGCUUCUAGUGUAUUUUUUAGAGGGUGAUGAGGCUCCACGGGGACUGUGACUUCUGCCCUCUUCUCUCGCUCUCGCUCGGGGGGAAGCUGGCGGCCCUGUGCAGAGGCCCAUGGGGCAAGGAGUCCACCAGGGCACCAGCCAAGACCAGAGGCCUGCAAUAACCACGUGAGUGAGCUUGGGGCCACACCCUCCUCUCGUGGAGCCUGCGGUGAUCACAGUCUGUCACCUUGAUUGAGAGCCUGGGAGCCAGAAGAACCAGCUAAGCCACUCCCGGAUUCCUGACCCAUCGGAACUGUGAGGCAAUAAAUCUGUGUUGGGUUAGGCUGCCAGACUUGAGGACCUGUGUGCCACAGGUGUAGAGGAGCCGAUAUACCCAAACCCUCUUGACAAUGUCUGAGCGCAUUGUUCCCAAAGUCAGAGCACAUGGGUUUAAAUCUUGACUCUGCCGAUAGUGAGCUGUGCAAACUUAAGCACAUUAUUUAA